This 253-nucleotide ribosomal RNA is filed under the name uncultured prokaryote. Its description in RNAcentral is "partial 16S ribosomal RNA". It matches the Rfam family "Bacterial small subunit ribosomal RNA", at positions 524 to 776 of the family's 1533-position model. The record is from RNAcentral.
CACGUAGGGGGCAAGCGUUGUCCGGAUUUAUUGGGCGUAAAGAGCUCGUAGGCGGCUCGGUAAGUCAGGUGUCAAAUCCUCAGGCUCAACCUGGGGCACCACCUGAUACUGCUGUGGCUAGAGUCCGGUAGGGGAGCGUGGAAUUCCUGGUGUAGCGGUGAAAUGCGCAGAUAUCAGGAGGAACACCGGUGGCGAAGGCGGCAUCCUGGACCAAUUCUGACGCUGAGGAGCGAAAGCCAGGGGAGCAAACGGG